UACAGAGGUCUCAAGCGUUGUUCGGAUUCAUUGGGCGUAAAGGGUGCGUAGGCGGCGGAGUAAGUUGGGUGUGAAAUCCCGAGGCUCAACCUCGGAAUUGCAUUCAAUACUGCUUCGCUCGAGUACUGGAGAGGAGGCUGGAAUUUACGGUGUAGCAGUGAAAUGCGUAGAUAUCGUAAGGAAGGCCGGUGGCGAAAGCGAGCCUCUGGACAGUUACUGACGCUGAUGCACGAAGGCCAGGGGAGCAAACGGG
Molecule: ribosomal RNA, 253 nt
Filed under: uncultured bacterium
Lineage: Bacteria
Description: partial 16S ribosomal RNA
Rfam family: Bacterial small subunit ribosomal RNA
Source: RNAcentral